This is a long non-coding RNA of Gorilla gorilla gorilla (western lowland gorilla), 3430 nucleotides long. RefSeq lists it as uncharacterized. Lineage: Eukaryota; Metazoa; Chordata; Mammalia; Primates; Hominidae. The transcript is spliced from 2 exons. The record is from RefSeq and is a predicted model, not a curated record.
GGGUCAGGGCCCAGGGUUAGGGUUUUAGGGUCAGGGCCUGGGCCCAGGGUUAGGUUUUUAGGGUCAGGGCCCAGGGUCUGGGUUUUAGGGUCAGGGCCCAGGGUUAGGGUUUUAGGGUCAGGACCCAGGGUUAGGGUUUUAGGGUCAUGGCCCAGGGUUAGGGUUUUAGGGUCAGGGCCCAGGGUUAGGGUGAUUUCCAGGAAGUGACCUCACAGUGACUCAAGCUACCACUUACUGUUUAUUGUGAUGAAAUGCCAGCUGAGGCACAUGCCUUGGGGGCUAAGUGGUUGCUGCCCUUGACUACUAUGAAGACUGGUGUGGGAAGGGUCGCUUUGGAUGCACUUGAGCAGGGUUCCCCAACCCCUGAGCCAUGGAGCCGUAAGGAGCCACACAGCAGGUGAGUGGUGUCGAGUGAGGGAGUGAGGGAAGCUUCGUCUGUAUUUACAGCCACUCCCCUUUGCUCACAUUCCCGCCUGAGCUCCACCUUCUCAGAUGAGCAGCAGCAUUAGAUUCUCAUAGGAGAACGCACCCUGUUGUGAACCGUGCAUGUGAGGGAUCUAGGUUGCGCUGUUCUUAUGAGAAUCUAAUACCUAUUGAUCUGUCACUUUCUCCCAUCACGCUCAGGUGGGACCAUCCAGUUUCAGGAAAACAAGCUUAACACGCCCACUGAUUCUACAUUAUGAUUCUUCAGGCCCAGCGUCUGCCUCACUGUGGACCCCCCAAGCCAAGCUCCCAACCUUUCAGCAGCUUCUACACACCCAGCUCCCGCCUGCCAGUGGCCUCUUCAGGCCCAUGGGGCUCAUUCCUCACAACAGCCUUUCCAGUCCCAGUUUUUCCCUUCCGGCGGCCUCUCCGGGCUGAGAACCUCCUCAAGUCGGCCUCUCCAGACCCACUUGCACCCUCCAGGCGUCCUCUCCGGGCCAAGCUCCUCUUCCUGGCUGUGUCUCCAGGCCCGACUCCUGCCUCUCAACAACGUCUUUGGACUCAGUGCCUACCCAUCUCCUGGCGUCCUUGGUCGGCCCACAGCUUCCUCAAGCCAAGCUCCCCAGGCCCAGGUCAGGCCUCACGGUGCCCCCUCCACGAUGAGCUCCUGCCCUCCAAUGGCACCUGCAGGCCCCAAAUGGUCUCCGGUCGGUGGGCUCCUCCACGCCAAGCUUGGGCCUCCCGGUGACCUCUGCAGGCCCAAGUUGUCCUGAAGUCAGCAUCUCCCAGCCGUGCCUCCCAGCAAGUAAGCAAGCUCUUUUGGCUCAACUCCUGCCCAGCUCCCAACCGCCUUUGUAGGUCCCGAACUUUCUCCAGCCAAGUUCUUUGGGCCUCAUUCCUGCCACCCGGUGGCCUGUACAGGCCCAGCAAUGGUUGGAGAACGGCCUCUGCAGGUCCCGCUCUUGCCUCCCAGGGGCCUCUCCAGGCCCAGCUCUCGCCCCCACGGCGGCCACCCGGGGCCAAGUCCCUGCCUGCCUCCCAGCAGCCCGCAUGCGGCCCAGCUCCUCCCUCACGGUGGCCUGUUGAUGCCCAUGCCUCUGGUACCCUGCCCAGAGGCAUGAGCCCCUGCCACACACUGGCUCCUCCCACGCUGAGAGAGGUCAGCGUGAGCCCUUGCCUCACACCGGCCCCUCCCACGCUGAGAGAGGUCAGCGUGAGCCCCUUGCCUCACAUCGGCCCCUCCCACGCUGAGAGAGGUCGGCGUGAGCCCUUGACUCACACCGGCCCCUCCCACGGUGAGAGAGGUCAGCGUCACCCCCUUACCUCACACCGGCCCCUCCCACGCUGAGAGAGGUCGGCGUGAGCCCUUGCCUCACACCGGCCCCUCCCAUGGUGAGAGAGGUCAGCGUCAGCCUCUUGCCUCACACCGGCCCCUCCCACGCUGAGAGAGGUCGGCGUGAGCCCCUUGCCUCACACCCGCCCCUCCCACGCUGAGAGAGGUCGGCGUCAGCCCCUUGCCUCACACCGGCCCCUCCCACGCUGAGAGAGGUCAGUGUGAGCCCUUGCCUCACACCGGCCCCUCCCACGCUGAGAGAGGUCGGCGUCCGCCCCUUGCCUCACACCGGCCCCUCCCACGCUGAGAGAGGUCAGUGUGAGCCCUUGCCUCACACCGGCCCCUCCCACGGUGAGAGAGGUCGGCGUCAGCCCCUUGCCUCACACCGGCCCCUCCCACGCUGAGAGAGGUCGGCGUGAGCCCUUGCCUCACACCGGCCCCUCCCACGCUGAGAGAGGUCAGCGUGACCCCCUGCCUCAACAGGCCACCGUGAGGGAGGAGCAGGGUCGCACGCGGGCUGCUGUGAGGCAGGCAGCGACUUGGGCCUGGGAGGUCGUGGUGGGGUGAGAGCUGGGCUUGGAGACUCCCCUGGGAGGCAACAGCGGGGCCUACAGACUCUGUUCUCCAGCCGGAGCUGGGACUGUUCAGGUACUGGGAGGUGGGAUGUGGGUCUGAAGAGCUUGGUUGCAGAAACUUCGGGGUCUACAAACGCAGGCGGGAGCUGAGCCAAAAAAGCUUGUUUGCUGGGAGGCGGGAGAUGCAGCCAGGAGAAACAGCUCUGCCUGCAGAGGCCGCCAUGCGGGAGGCGGAGGCCGGGCCUCCUCAAAUCGGCCUCUCCAGACCCACUUGCAGCCUCCCGGCAUCCUCUCCGGGCCCAGCUCUUCCUCCCGGCUGCGUCUCCAGGCCUGACUCUGGCCUCCCAACAACGUCUUUGGACUCAGCUCCUGCCCAGCUCCCAGCAGGCCCAAGUCGUCGUCAAGUCGGCCUGGAAUUGGGCCCGGAAGAGCAGCAAGUCGGCCUCCCCGGGCCCAGCUCCGUCCUCUCGGCGGCCUCUCCAGGUGCAAAACUUCCUCGAGUCAGCCUCUCCAGGCCCCGCUCCUCCUGCCUCCCAGUGGCCUCUUUCAGCCCAGACCAGCUCAUGGCUCUUGGCGGCCUUCCCAGGCCCCGCUUUUGACUUUUGGUGGCCUCUUCAGGCCCAGAACUUGACCUCCAGUGGGCCUUUGCAGGCCCGGCCUCCUGCCUCUCGAAGGCCUGCACGGGCCCGGACUCACAGCGGACUCACAGCGGACUCUCCAUGCCCAGCUAGCUCUCGCCUCAUUGCGGCCUCCCGAGUCCAAAGCUCCUGCCUCUCGGCCGCUUCGGCAGGCCCAGCUCCCGCCUGCCAGUGGCCUCUUUAGGCCCAGCUCAUUCCUCACAACGGCCUUCCCAGGCCCCGUUUUUCCCUUCCGGCAGCCUCUUGGCCUCUAAUUUGUUUAUCUUUUGUGUAUAAAUCCCAAAAUAUUGAAGUUUGGAAUAUUUCCACCAUUAUGUAAAUAUUUUGGUAGGUGAUUUAUUUGGGGUGAGUUUCUGCACCAAGCCCGAAUUUUUUAUUUUAUUUUCCUUAUUAUUUGGUGUUAAACAGGUUUAAUGACGGUCAUGGCAACUGUUUGGCACAAUGAAAAAUAUCGCCCAUGA